GUCGUGUUCGUCUAGCCGGCUGAGGACACUUGCCUUUCAAGCAGGGAACACGGGUUCGAAUCCCGUACAUGACGCCA
This 77-nucleotide transfer RNA is filed under the name Caenimonas koreensis DSM 17982. Its description in RNAcentral is "tRNA-Glu". It matches the Rfam family "tRNA". From Rfam's summary of the family: Transfer RNA (tRNA) molecules are approximately 80 nucleotides in length. Their secondary structure includes four short double-helical elements and three loops (D, anti-codon, and T loops). Further hydrogen bonds mediate the characteristic L-shaped molecular structure. tRNAs have two regions of fundamental functional importance: the anti-codon, which is responsible for specific mRNA codon recognition, and the 3' end, to which the tRNAs corresponding amino acid is attached (by aminoacyl-tRNA synthetases). tRNAs cope with the degeneracy of the genetic code in two manners: having more than one tRNA (with a specific anti-codon) for a particular amino acid; and 'wobble' base-pairing, i.e. permitting non-standard base-pairing at the 3rd anti-codon position. Lineage: Bacteria; Pseudomonadati; Pseudomonadota; Betaproteobacteria; Burkholderiales; Comamonadaceae. The record is from RNAcentral.